AGUAAGGUCCCAGUUAAACAGAUUGAACAGCAUUUGGCGGAAACCAGUCAAUCUACAAUAAAUAUCUGUGUGGCGGAUCUGAAUAAUAACUGUAUUACGGAAAUAUCCUGAUUGGCAAAAUUGUAAAAUUAAAAGCCGUUCUUGUUGGUAAGUAUUCUUUCAACUGCAUUACAAAAUAUAAUCAUUGGAAAAUUAUCGUUAUUAUUAAGUUAUUGUUGUCAUUUGUUAAGUGUUUUUAACAUUAUUGUAAGCGAUCAGAGACAUCAUUUAAGAAUUGAAUGCUUCUUUUUGUAACUUCAUUGGGGUGUAAAAGCGUUGACCGAAGUACAUUUUGUAUGAAGCGCUUCCGCGCUCAUUCUAAAAAUGUGCGCACGGUCAACGCUUUUACAACCCUAUGAAGUUACAAAAAGAAGCAUUUAAUACUUAAUUACAUUUGUUAGCUAGGAUCAUGAAAACACGAAUUUUAUCAACUUUUUAUUUAAUUCACCUGUGCACUUUAUUGUGGGACCUCGUGUUAUCAUGAAUGAAAAGUUUUAUGAGUAAUGCAAUUGCUUAAGGAAUAACACUGUAGUGCAGUGACCAAUCAGAAUAACGAAUUAUAGUGAAACAUAUCUAAUGUUAUUAUAUAACAAUGACAGCUGCAAUAAAUCUGAGUGAUUUUGUGGAAAACUUAACCAUUUGAUACGUUAGUUUACAUGUAAUUACUAUACGUAAAAAAUGUAAUGUAAAGAAUUGAGAAUGAAAAUGGGGAAUAUGUUAAGAGACAACAACCCGACCAAAGAACAGAUAACAGCCGAAUGCCACCAAUGGGUCUUCAACAAGCAGAUAUUUCCGCAGCGGAGGCGUGCUUCAGCUGACCCCUAAACAAAAAUGUAUACUUAUUCAGUGAUAAUGCAUUGUGUCUAUCACAAUAAUCUUAUAACAAUGACAUAUUAACAGGUAACUCUUCAGAUGAGCAGGGUUCAGCAUUGUCAUGUAGUGCUACAGAACAUC
RNAcentral lists this long non-coding RNA (993 nucleotides) under Mytilus galloprovincialis (Mediterranean mussel). The record is from RNAcentral. Lineage: Eukaryota; Metazoa; Mollusca; Bivalvia; Mytilida; Mytilidae.